GCCGAGGUGGCGGAAUUGGUAGACGCACUAGUUUCAGGGACUAGCGCCUUCACGGGCGUAGGGGUUCAAGUCCCCUCCUCGGCACCA
This 87-nucleotide transfer RNA is filed under the name Deinobacterium chartae. Its description in RNAcentral is "tRNA-Leu". It matches the Rfam family "tRNA". Rfam says of the family: Transfer RNA (tRNA) molecules are approximately 80 nucleotides in length. Lineage: Bacteria; Thermotogati; Deinococcota; Deinococci; Deinococcales; Deinococcaceae. The record is from RNAcentral.